GCGUGGCCGGUGCCGCAGGAGCCCAGCAUGGAGUACCAGGUAUCAGGCGGGCCAGCGGGCCGGGGCGCGACGACACGUGGGCCUGCGCUGAGCCGCAGAACAUCCGGGCUCUGCUAGCCGAGAGGGAUGCCGUGCGCAUGCUCAAUACCCUACAGACCAAUGCCGGCUACCUGGAGCAGGUGAAGCGCCAGCGGGGUGACCCCCAGACACAGCUGGAAGCCAUGGAACUGUACCUGGCACGGAGUGGGCUGCAGGUGGAGGACUUGGAUCGGCUGAACAUCAUCCACGUCACUGGGACGAAGGGGAAGGGCUCCACCUGUGCCUUCACGGAAUGUAUCCUCCGAAGCUAUGGCCUGAAGACGGGAUUCUUUAGCUCUCCCCACCUGGUGCAGGUUCGGGAGCGGAUCCGCAUCAAUGGGCAGCCCAUCAGUCCUGAGCUCUUCACCAAGUACUUCUGGCACCUCUACCACCGGCUGGAAGAGACCAAGGAUGGCAGCUGUGUCUCCAUGCCCCCCUACUUCCGCUUCCUGACACUCAUGGCCUUCCACGUCUUCCUCCA
Molecule: small RNA, 559 nt
Filed under: Pongo abelii (Sumatran orangutan)
Lineage: Eukaryota; Metazoa; Chordata; Mammalia; Primates; Hominidae
Description: processed transcript
Source: RNAcentral